This 253-nucleotide ribosomal RNA is filed under the name uncultured bacterium. RNAcentral describes it as "partial 16S ribosomal RNA". It matches the Rfam family "Bacterial small subunit ribosomal RNA", at positions 524 to 776 of the family's 1533-position model. The record is from RNAcentral.
UACGAAGGGGGCUAGCGUUGUUCGGAAUCACUGGGCGUAAAGGGCGCGUAGGCGGCUUUGUAAGUCGGGGGUGAAAGCCUGUGGCUCAACCACAGAAUUGCCUUCGAUACUGCAUGGCUUGAGACCGGAAGAGGUAAGUGGAACUGCGAGUGUAGAGGUGAAAUUCGUAGAUAUUCGCAAGAACACCAGUGGCGAAGGCGGCUUACUGGCCCGAUACUGACGCUGAGGCACGAAAGCGUGGGGAGCAAACAGG